CGAAUGGGUGAGUAACACGUGCUUAAUCUACCUUUUAGAUUGGAAUACCCAUUGGAAACAAUGGCUAAUGCCGGAUACGCAUGGAACCGCAUGGUUCCGUUGUGAAAGGCGCUGUAAGGCGCCACUAAAAGAUGAGGGUGCGGAACAUUAGUUAGUUGGUGAGGUAAUGGCCCACCAAGACUAUGAUGUUUAGCCGGGUCGAGUGACUAAACGGCCACAUUGGGACUGAGAUACGGCCCAAACUCCUACGGGAGGCAGCAGCA
This 263-nucleotide ribosomal RNA is filed under the name uncultured Mycoplasma sp. RNAcentral describes it as "partial 16S ribosomal RNA". It matches the Rfam family "Bacterial small subunit ribosomal RNA", at positions 99 to 355 of the family's 1533-position model. The record is from RNAcentral. Lineage: Bacteria; Bacillati; Mycoplasmatota; Mollicutes; Mycoplasmatales; Mycoplasmataceae.